This 263-nucleotide ribosomal RNA is filed under the name uncultured bacterium. RNAcentral describes it as "partial 16S ribosomal RNA". It matches the Rfam family "Bacterial small subunit ribosomal RNA", at positions 88 to 353 of the family's 1533-position model. The record is from RNAcentral.
CUGGCGACCGGCGCACGGGUGAGUAACACGUAUCCAACCUACCCUUACUCGGGAUAGCCUUUCGAAAGAAAGAUUAAUACCGAUAGCAUAAUGAUUCCGCAUGGUUUCAUUAUUAAAGGAUUCCGGUAAAGGAUGGGGAUGCGUUCCAUUAGGUUGUUGGUGGGGUAACGGCCCACCAAGCCUUCGAUGGAUAGGGGUUCUGAGAGGAAGGUCCCCCACAUUGGAACUGAGACACGGUCCAAACUCCUACGGGAGGCAGCAUG